CUGGCCGGGUGGUCUGGGGGGCGCGGAGGGACGCGGGCCGAGGAGCUGACCGCGCCGGAGCCUCGGACCCCGGAGCCGCAGACCCUCAGCCUCGGUGGGACCCCAGCCCAUUAAUGCGGAAACCGGUGUGAGAAGACGCACGAAAUUGGGCUCAUCAAGUGUGAAACUAUAGAACUCUCUGAAGGCCUGUUCUGCCAGUUUCUCACAAAGCACAGAGAGCCCCAUUCCUCGUCGCUCUGACCUCGUUUCAGCGGGAGUCGAAGGUCCGCGACACAGUGUCAGUGACUUCAUUCUUGUGGAACUGGGUGGCACUGCGUGAACCGGAACCGGCCUUGAUGACGUCAGAUGUUAUCAUUCUCUGCAUGACGACACCGCUGGUGGAGAUAUUUUAAAGGGCCCACGACUGGAAGUGGGCUGGGCUGGGUCUGCAGGUCUCACUGGCCUCCUUCUGGAACCAGGCUCCUCGCACGGACUCGGAUGCUGGGCUCCACGGCCCUUUCCUCCUCUGGGUCUUGGUUUCCUUUCUUAACACAGUGGAAUCUCCUCUGCUGAUGGUUUUAUUUAAACAAACAGCCCUCAGCUCUCCCUCCU
Long non-coding RNA from Globicephala melas (long-finned pilot whale), 591 nucleotides. RefSeq lists it as uncharacterized. The record is from RefSeq and is a predicted model, not a curated record. NCBI's taxonomy places the organism in Eukaryota, Metazoa, Chordata, Mammalia, Artiodactyla, Delphinidae.